CUUUUCCACAUUUGUUACUUUUUGUCUUUUUCUUUUGACAUAGGGUCUUGCUCUGUCACCCAGGCUAGAGUACAGUGGUAUGUUCAUGGCUCCCUGCAUUUUUUAAUCUUUUUGAUAAUAGCCUAAUUGAGGUGAUAUGAAACCAGAACCCAGACCAAGAAACUGAAUUUGGUAUAUUUUGAAGUUUUGUGUAUUUAUUUCUGAAUAGUAAAUUCAUUUAUUCAACAAAUACUUUUUGAGUGUGGUUACUGCCUGCCAACCAUUGUUUAGUUAUUUGGAUGACGUCACAGUGGUGAACUAAAGCAGAAUUACGGCAUAGGGAGAUAAACAUCAACUAAUUAUACAAUUAAGUGUGUAAUUAUAACCCAGUAUGAACACCGAAGGUACAUUGUCCUGUGCAAGGCAGUAUAACUAGGUAGUCUGUAUUGUAUUAUAUGUUGAGGAAUAAAAGGUAGACUUUGGAGUCAUACUGCUUAAGUUCAGAUCUUAUUGCCAUAUCUGGUAUUAGUGUGACUUUUAGGCAAGUGUCUCUAGGCCUCAUUUAUUAACAUGGGAUCAAUAAUAGUAAUACCUACCUUAUACAAUUGUUAUGGAGAUUAAAAUAGCUUAUUCAUACAGAAUAUUACCACAAUAUUGUAGGUUCUCUGUAUAGUAUUAGUAAUUAUUAAUUUUGUGUCAGUGGUGGUGUUUUAUAUGUAACAUUUGAAGAUGAUCAGAAUAUUUCAUACAGUAGGUUCUGGUCUUAGAUUGCAGAUCAAAUAAUCCAAACAGAUAAAAGAAUCUAGUUGCAUGACACCUGGCAGUCUUUAUAGCAUGUUUCACAUUUUAGCGAGCAUAAGAAUCACUGGGGUACUUCUUAUAAAUGCAUAUUACUGUGGGCAGCUUUCUGGGGACACUUGACUCUGGAAUUGAUAUUUUUAUGAUAAUCUAUAUAUAUUUUUAAGAACAUAGGCUUGAAAACGGAUAGCCUGUAAAUGUGGUUUAAAAUAAUUUUUUAAUUAAACAUAAUUUUUUAAAAUUAUUUUUUAAUUUUAGAAACAGGGUCUUGCUCUGUCACCCAAACUGGAGGUGGAGUCCAGUGGAAUGAUCAUAGCUCACUGCAGCCUUGAACUCCCAGGCUCUAGGGCCCCCAGUAUCGGAGUAGCCAAGCCUGACUAAUAUAAGUGUUUUUGAUACAGUACCAAAUAGCCAAUUAUUUUGUCUUAUUAUUUUAACAUUUAACAAAUUAUAUGUUAUAUGUUAUUUAACAUAUUUAACAUAUAACAUUGUAAAUAUUAACAUUAUUUAAUAUAUAACAUUGUAAGGUUUGUUGUUAUUUACUUUUGGUGCAUAAGCUUACUAUAGCUGGUAGAAAAUUUCCCCCAAAUCUGUACUUGCUCUAGGAUUCCCUGUUAGUGAGUAGAAUCAUACAUCAAUUUGCCCAAUCCAGAAAUCUGGAAUUCAUCCUUGAUUCUGUCGUCUGUCUUUCCUCCAUCUCUAAGCCAUUACUAAGUUUCCUGGUUAUAAAAUUUUUUUAACCUCUACUUAAACUUGCCUUUGUCCUCUUCUGCAGUUCACUCUCCAAAGUUGUAUUUCUGAAGCACAAAUAACUGAUCAUGCCAUUCACUUGCAUAAAUGCCUUCCUUAACAAUUAACUAUUGCCCAAAGAUAUAAGAUAACUUAACUUAGAAAAAUAUAAGUUAACAUAACAUACCUUAGAAAGCUGUUGGAAUCUAGCUCUGUUUUCAUUUGUUCUCUAUCCUGUUUUCUGGGGACUUAGAAUUUCUUGCUGUUUCUUGAGUUAAUUGAGAAAAAUACCAUGUUUUUUCACAUUUCCAUGUUAAUGUGCAUAUUACUUUUCACAUUUUAUAUGCCUACAGGAUGUAUUGCCUAUUGUCAAGAAUAAAUUCCAGCGUUAAGUAUCUUCAGAUAACGUUUGUGCCACUUACUCUCUUGCUCAGUAUUUCUUUUAACCACUGUUUAUUGACAACCCACCACAUGCCUGGCAUUGUGCCAGAGGUGCAUCUGUAAAUGGACAGACAGGUUUCCUGUUCUCAUUUGUCUUAUACUAGUGAAAUCUCUGUCAAACACUCUCUUUUUGUUUUGUUUGCAUGGUAUUUACCACCAACCUGUCUGUUAUAUUACUGUUAGAUUUAUAUCCCUCUUUUUUCCCAUUUAAUUUUGAGCUCCAGGAAUUAGAUCAUAUAUUUAUUAAUGUUUCUCUCCUAGCAGUUAGCACAGUAUAUGGCAGAUGAAGAGCAUUGAAAUUUAUGACUGAAUAAAACACAGAAAUCGAAAUACCCUUGUAGAUAUACAGAGCUGUUCCUGGGAAAGAUCAUAACUGUGCUUUAUAGUAUAGGUUUAUUUUGAAAAAUUAUAUAAAUAAGAACAUUAUUAAAUAAAAUCUAGGGGAAUACCUGUGUUCCUCAGUAUUGAUAUUGUCAAUGUUACUUUUUUUGAAAAAGAACCUUGGGAGGACCAUUGUUUGAAGUUAAAUUUUAAAUAUUUACAUAUUUUAAGCUGUAAACUUAUAUAAAUUUAUAUUCUAAGUAUAUGAAUUAAAAUACUAAUUAUAGCUUCUAAUUAUUAAAAUUAUACAACUUUUAAUAGAUGUUCUGUUCAAAUGAAUUACUACUACAUCUAGCUUACUUUCUUUUAGUGUUGUAUACCUAGAUUGAUCCUCGUUUAUAUUUGACAGUUACAAUAUAUAAUAACAUGCUGAUAAAUCAAUUAAAGACGUGGCUUUUGUUAAUAGAAUUUUAAGACCAUCACAGGAGUGGCCUGGUAGAUGUCACUUGUUUAAUUUAUCCAAAGGUACAGAAUGAUAAACUGUCAACAAGAACUUUUUUUUCUUGUCAUUGGUUAUAACCUUUGCUCCUUGAAAUAAUUCGGAGUGAGCAAUUCUUUAGAAUUAUAGAAAGGAAGAUGUUUUUGUGUACACAGAAAGAGGAAAGUAUAAAAUGAAGUAAGUUUAUAAUCCAGAAUUGAAGUGGGAGGGAAAUAGGUCUCAAUCCCUGGGUCAUGGAGAAAAAGUUAUUUAUUUAUAAAACAUAUAUGUAUUUGUUUUUCAACCUUUAGUUUUGGUGGGUACAUGUGCAGGUUUGUUACAUGGUUAAGUUGCAUGUUGCUGAGGUUCAGUGUACAGAUGUUCCCAUUACCCAGGUAGUGUGCAUAGUACCUGAUAGGUUGUUUUUCAGUGCUUACUCCUCUUUCCUCUUCCCCUACUAGUCCGCCGUGUUUCUUUUUACCAUCUUUAGGGAAGUCAAUUUUAAUAUGUUAAAGUCAGCAGAAAUUGCCAUAACUCUUCCUGCCAUCAUUAUUAUAAGAGUAGGACACUGGUACAAGAAGCCAACAACACAAGUUUUUAAAAAUUUUUAUAUUUAUUUAUUUAUUUAACCUCAACAACACAAUUUUAGUCUCUGGGAGGAGAUAAUGGAGCAGAUAUAGUCCUGGGAAAAACAGACACUGCCGUUGAAGUUUAUACUUAAGGUGAUCAUAUUAUUUAUAGCUAUUAUUUAUAAUACAACCUGGGAUACUUUGGGAAGUGAAAAUAGAUGAUAUUAACAAUUACAGUGGUACACUAGCUGUUAACUGGAACCCUGACAAAUCAGAUAUAUGUAAUAUAUAUGCUAUAAUGUUGGUAUGAAGAAUGUAUCAUAACAGUAUAGAGAAGUGGCUUUGUAGGUUAGGAAAAACCUUUACAUCUAGUCUGAGCUAGACUUCUGAAGAAUGACAAGGUUGUUCCCCAAGUUGGGUUGAGAAACAAAGGGCAUUCCAGGUUAAAGGGACCUAGUACCAUCUUGCUGUUUGUAUUGCUCUGUCUCUGUUCAUAUCAUUUCUCUGUUCAUAUCAUUGCCUCUCACGAAGUGCUUCGUGGUUUGCUGAUUUUCUGAAACAGCUAUGAAACAUCCAGUUGAUUGAUCGUACUUCAGGUUUACCUACCCAGGCACUGGUUCUCACAGCACUUUUUGCUCAUGAACCUUAAUGUGUGACUCCCUAUAUUCUCAUGUCUGCCUUUAUGAUCUUGGGGGUAGUAGCUUGCCCUGUGUCCUCAUUUCUCUUACAAUUCAGAAGAGUUGUUGAUUUUUCAGUUUGAUCAGGUUUUUACUUGUCGUUAGAAUGAUGUGAUGACUUCCAGGCUCCUUUCGUGUGGAACCAGAAAUGAAGUCCAUGUUCAGUUUUUAGUAUGAUAAACUUAACAUUUAAGAAACAUUAUAACCCAGUUAAAUUGAUUGACUUGCCACUGUAGUUGAUUGACAGGUUUUUCUGUCAAUCAUUUUUGCCAUUGUAUUUAUAUUUAAAAUAUACCAAUGAUCAAAAGAUUAUUACAUGCUUCAGUUGCUUGAGAGAAAACAUUGUUAUUUUGAGUGUGUAAAGGGAAGAUAAUACUUGUUCUCUGCAUUCCAGAUGAUUACACCAGAACAAAUAAACAAUUACACAGGGGCAGAUUUUGGCAUCAGUAUAAGAAAAAAUGUUCUAUUUCUCUAUCCAAAGAUGGAAUACUUCCUCUUGGCAACUUUUGACUUGCUCUGCCUUAGUGUUAUUUUACUAUAAACUAGAGGCCCUCAGGAGAUGCUAUCCUUGGGAUAGAGCCUUUCUCUACUAAAUUAUAUAACUUUUUGAAAUUAAUAAUUGUUAGAAUUUCAGGAAAUGUUAGAUUGUUUAAAGCAAUGCUUUUCUCAUCUUUUGGACCUGUGGAUAAGGGUGAGAAGAUGUACUGCCAGUGUCUUUGCUGGUGGAGACCAUUUUGCUUCUAGCUUUUGCAAAGUAAUGCUAACUAUAGUAAUCUUCAUAUACAUUUAGUCAUAUCUGCUUACAUUAAUCAUAGAUUAUAUUAAAGACAUAAUUACAUAUCAGAUUUGUGUAAUUGUUUAAUUUUGUUAUAGUGUUGAAGCCAUGUAUGUAUCCAACUUUUCUAGAUGGGUAUGUAUGUUGCUUAUGUGGUAUUUGUUUACAUGUAUUCAAAAGUACAUCAUAGAAUACAUUGUUCAGCUCUACUCCUACUUCAGUUUCUCUUUGAAAUUUUCAGGAAGGUUGAUAAAAUGAUAAAAAUUAGAUUUGUACAGUUAAUCUUGCAGUGGCUUGGAGAUUGGAUUAGAAUAAAGAGAGGUAAUAUAAGCACAGGGAAUUAAUUUAUUACGCAGCUUUUGCCAUAAUUUAAAUGAGUUAGAAGAGCAAUUGAAAUGUGGUUGUGGUUGAUAGAAUUUAAAAAAA
This is a long non-coding RNA of Sapajus apella (tufted capuchin), 5193 nucleotides long. RefSeq lists it as uncharacterized. Lineage: Eukaryota; Metazoa; Chordata; Mammalia; Primates; Cebidae. The record is from RefSeq and is a predicted model, not a curated record. The transcript is spliced from 2 exons.